This 586-nucleotide ribosomal RNA is filed under the name Obolarina persica. Its description in RNAcentral is "eukaryotic LSU rRNA". The stretch from base 219 to 372 matches the Rfam family "5.8S ribosomal RNA". The record is from RNAcentral. Lineage: Eukaryota; Fungi; Ascomycota; Sordariomycetes; Xylariales; Xylariaceae.
UGGCGAGUUGGUUAAGCUCCAACCCAUGUGAACAUACCUAUCGUUGCCUCGGCAGGUCGUGCUGCGCGGCAGGAUCGCACCCCCGCGGGGAGCAGCUACCCUGUAGCAGCUACCCUGUAGCGGGGUCGCCUACCCCGCAGCACGCUGUAAGGCCUGCCGAAGGACCCCUAAACUCUGUAUUAUACUGUAUCUCUGAGGCUAUGUGGGAAAUAAGUUAAAACUUUCAACAACGGAUCUCUUGGUUCUGGCAUCGAUGAAGAACGCAGCGAAAUGCGAUAAGUAAUGUGAAUUGCAGAAUUCAGUGAAUCAUCGAAUCUUUGAACGCACAUUGCGCCUAAUAGUAUUCUGUUAGGCAUGCCUGUUCGAGCGUCAUUUCAACCCCCAAGCCCUAUUUGCUUGACGUUGGGAGUUUACGGAGACGUAAUUCCUCAAAUAUAGUGGCGGAGCUAGGUCUCGUGCUCUGAGCGUAGUAGCUAAAACCUCGCUUCUGUAGCCGGCCCGGGUCCUGCCGUAAAACCCCCUAUAUUUUCUCAUGGUUGACCUCGGAUCAGGUAGGAAUACCCGCUGAACUUAAGCAUAUCAUAGA